GGGGGGAGCGCCGGAUCUUGGCUGUGUCCCCAGUGCCCUGAGCUCCGGGGCCUGCACCAGUGAAAUUGCGCUCCCGGGGCCGCGCAGCCCCCU
RNAcentral lists this microRNA precursor (93 nucleotides) under Canis lupus familiaris (dog). RNAcentral describes it as "mir-8799 microRNA precursor family". It matches the Rfam family "mir-8799 microRNA precursor family". The record is from Rfam by way of RNAcentral. Lineage: Eukaryota; Metazoa; Chordata; Mammalia; Carnivora; Canidae.